GCCGCGCCGUGAUUGGCAGCGCGCCCCUCGGCUCGCCGCGGCCCCGCCGCACGACUAUUGGGCGGUGGAACCGUCACUCCGAGCGCCGCUCCGCCUCCCCUGCGCUGCUAUUGGUCAGCGCGCCUGUCACUCGGCGCGCCGCCCCGCCUCCCGCUCGCUGAUAUUCACCACCGCGCCCGUCACUCCCCGCCAGGCCCCGCCCCCCGCCAGCAUCCAUUGGCCGCCGCGCCUGCCCGUCACGGCGGCGGACCCGCCCCCGCGCCGCCGCCGGUUCAUCCGCCGCCCGCCGCCGGCGCUACCUGCGCGGAGAGCGGCUCCGGCGCGGGCCCGUCCGCCGCGGUCUGGCCGCCCCUCCGAGCCGCCGCCGCUCCGCGCUCCGCCCGCCAAAACCGCCCGCAGCGCGCAGGCGCCGCCGGCCGCGCUCCGCGCAUGCGUCCGCCCGCCUUUCCCCCCCUCUCCCCAAAGCCAACCGCGAUGGGCGCAUGCGCUGCCGCGGCCGCACCUUGGGGCCGGCGGGCGGGCGGCCCCUGCUCGCCGCCGCCGCCGGGAGUCGCCGCCGCCGCCUCGCUCUGCGCCCGCCGCGCCGCGCUCGCCGAGCUGCGCUGGGCCCGCCGCCGCCAGCGCUGAUGGACGGCCGCGCCCGCCAAUGGGCACCGUCCCCCCUCUUUCCCAGCCAAUGAGCGCCUGGCGAGGGGCGGGCCCUGCUUCGCUCCAACCAAUCAGCGGCGCGCCGGGGAGUCUCCGGGCCGGAGCGGGAAAAGCGGCGCGGGGCGUGUCGGCAGCGAUUCCCCCCAAUCCCCGCGGCGCGAGGGCGGGACGUUUCUCCCUUCAGCCAAUCAGCGGCAGCGCGGGGGGCGGAGCGCGGCGAGGCAGCCAAUGGGGCGGCGGCGCUGUGCGGCGGCAGCCAAUGGGCGGCGGCGCGGGGGCCGCGCGGGCGGCGGGGGCGGCGGGGUGAGGCGGCGGCGCUCGCGGCGCUCGGCCCCUUUCCGUGUCGGCCCUCGCAGAGGGAGCAUCGCGCGCCGCCGC
RNAcentral lists this long non-coding RNA (1026 nucleotides) under Taeniopygia guttata (zebra finch). RNAcentral describes it as "lncRNA (ENSTGUG00000024937.1)". Lineage: Eukaryota; Metazoa; Chordata; Aves; Passeriformes; Estrildidae. The record is from RNAcentral.